GCCGCAGUUAAACUGUGCUAAGGUAGCAUAAUAACUUGCCUUUUAAUUGAAGGAUUGCAUGAAAGGUUAAACGAUCAAAAAAUUCCUUAAAUCAUAUAAUUAUAAAAUUACCUUAAGCAUAAAAAGAUGCUUAUAAAAAAGAAAGACAACAAGACCCUAUCGAACUUAACUAAAGUUAACUGGGGCGGUAUAAAAUUAUAACUUUACAAUUAUAUCCAAAUAAACGAUCCAAUAAUAUUGUACACUAUAACAAGUUACCGUAGGGAUAACAGCGUAAUUAUUACUAAAAGCACGCAUUAUAUUAAUAGAUUACGACCUCGAUGUUGAAUUUAGUUUUUCUUUUUUACGCAAUAGUAAACAAAAGUAGGUCUGUUCGACCUUUAAACCACUACAUGAUUUGAGUUCAGACCGGUGCAAACCAGGUCAGUUUCUAUCUUCUUAACUUUACGUAAUAGUACGAAAGGACCUUACAAAUAAUA
This 479-nucleotide ribosomal RNA is filed under the name Loxosceles speluncarum. RNAcentral's name for it is "partial 16S ribosomal RNA". It matches the Rfam family "Bacterial large subunit ribosomal RNA", at positions 1930 to 2705 of the family's 2925-position model. Lineage: Eukaryota; Metazoa; Arthropoda; Arachnida; Araneae; Sicariidae. The record is from RNAcentral.